RNAcentral lists this transfer RNA (71 nucleotides) under Stegodyphus mimosarum. It matches the Rfam family "tRNA". Rfam says of the family: Transfer RNA (tRNA) molecules are approximately 80 nucleotides in length. Their secondary structure includes four short double-helical elements and three loops (D, anti-codon, and T loops). Lineage: Eukaryota; Metazoa; Arthropoda; Arachnida; Araneae; Eresidae. The record is from Rfam by way of RNAcentral.
GCCUUCGUGGUGUAACGGUAGCACAGUCGGCCUAUGUUCGAGAGGUCCAGGUUCGAGUCCCGGCGAGGGCA